This 2167-nucleotide long non-coding RNA is filed under the name Homo sapiens (human). RNAcentral's name for it is "HSALNT0401024". The record is from RNAcentral. Lineage: Eukaryota; Metazoa; Chordata; Mammalia; Primates; Hominidae.
GAGAACUGAAGGAGAAGUCUAGAGAAGCCAGCUACACCUACAUUAGAAAGAGUGGAACAGAUCACGGGUCACAGGAUUAAGGCUAGAUGGGGUUUGAGAUGUGGGAAGACUUGAGGUCAUUUUGAGUUUUGAGAAAAGGAGAGACAUGAAGAGGCAGAAAACAUGUUUACUGGACCCAGCUACUUUGCAGUGAUUAGUGGGACCUUCAGAACAUAAAUAGAUCCUAAGGAGUGAAUGCUUGUACCCCUUCCAAAAUUUAUAUGCUGAAGCCUUUAUAUGGUUGUAUGUAAAGACAGACCCACUAAUGAAGUAAUUAAGGUUAAAUGGAGUCAUAAGAGAGAGGCCCUAAUUCCAUAAGAUUAGUGUCCUUAUAAGAAGAGACUCCAGAGAACUCACUUUCUCACUCUCUCCCUCCCUUUCCUUGCAUACAAACCAAGGGAAAAUCAUAUGAGAACAUAGCAAGAAGGUAGCUGUCUGAAAGCCAGGAAGAGAGGCCUCAGCAGGAAAUGAAUCAGCAAGAACCUUGAUCUUGGACUUCUAGCCUCCAGAAUUCUUACAGUCUAUCAUGGAAUGCAGACAAGUCAACAGAUCUUUAUCUUUCAUUAAUAAUCGAUAUAGAAAAUAUAAACAUAAGGUGCCAUGGAAGAAUAUCUUCAAUCAAAUCCAGCAAAAUACCUGUUCUCUACGCUAGGUGCACAGGUGUCUUGACUCAUUGCUGCCACACAUUGGCCACUCUCAUCGAAUUCAGAGGACUCAUGGAAACCACACACCCACUAGCUGUUCCCUCAGAAGCCCCUGAAUUACCAACAAAAAGCUGGUUCGUCUCGGCUACUGAGAAAUAAUUUGUCAUGUUUCAUCCCCUAAAUGAAAGAUGCCAGACUGAAUGCCCGUCUGAGAAAGGGACAGAGCAUGAGAUCUAACAAAGAACCUCAGCACUCAAAAAGUUUACCACUAAAAUGGAGUGACAAGGAAAGCAGGGGAAGAAAAAUCACUACUGGAAGUACUGCUACUAUCACCACUGCUCCUGGGAGGAAUCACCGCAGCAGCUGUUCAUCAAGUGCUUCCUGCAGCCAAUCACUAGGCUAAAAGCACCUGACAUGCCACAUCACAGCAGCUUGCUAACAAUAGCUGCUGUGAUUCUCACUUAACAAUAAAAGUGUGGCUCAGCGAGGCCAAGGAGCUUUUUCAAAAUCUUGUCACUAAUAAAUCUCAGAGUCCAGGCUUGAACCCAUGUCAACCUGACCCUAACGCCUUGGUCUUCACCUGAGUGCUUGCUAUGUGCCAGGCAUUGUCAACAGUACUUUAUAUUAAUUGUGUCACUUAAUUGUUAAACAGCCCUAUCAGUUCUCCAUCAAUAUUCCCUGAAGGGAAUGGGGCCUUGGAAAGAUUAGUGAACUGGACCCCUGACAUGAUCUCUUCCUUCCAAUACUUACAAUAAACUACUGUUUAGUAUGGAGAAGAAAGACUAGUGGAUAUUGAAGAACUGGCAGAAUAAACACUUGCAUAGAUGGAAGAUGUACAGAGGAUGUAUGCGAUACAGGACUUUAAAGAAUGCUGACAUCUUUGUGGCUGAAAUUAAUUGGAAAUUUUAAAAAAUCCGUCCUGGAAUUUGGCACAUGUAUGGGAUAUGGAUAGAAAAUAAGAGCAAAGAGGAAUUCAAGAUAAUGAGGCAAUAUAAACAAAAGUUGAAAAGAGAAAAUGAGCAUGCAGUGCCUAGAGAUGCCAAGGAAUCCAGAUCACUGAGGUCGGAUAGAUGUGUCUUUCCAGAAUUUGAUGAGGUUAACCAGGUAGAGCCAGAUGGUAGAGAUCCUUGAAUACCAGGCAAGGGAGUUCAUCUCUCCACCUGUAAGCAUGAAGGAGCCACGGGAGAUUUUGCAAAGGGAAUGACCAAAACGAAAAUGGCAUUUAGGAAAUGAGUUUGCCAGAAGUACCUGGGAGAAAUGGGGACUAGGCACUGAGAAUGUAAUUCAUAGCACAGCAGAACAGAUACUAAAAGAUCGUUCUGGAAGCAGAAGGGCUGGUUUCCAGCUUUUCUGAGGUUGUUUCACUGUGGGUAACUGCUAAGGCCUUCACCCUUGAUGCCAGAGGUGCUGAAACACAUUGCCACACGGCGAAAGAAGUGCCCUAUUGGCCCAAACACAUUGAAUAAACAUCUACCUCAAACCUU